Molecule: ribosomal RNA, 292 nt
Filed under: uncultured bacterium
Lineage: Bacteria
Description: partial 16S ribosomal RNA
Rfam family: Bacterial small subunit ribosomal RNA
Source: RNAcentral
GUGUCAGCCGCCGCGGUAAUACGAAGGGGGCUAUCGUUGUUCGGAAUUACUGGGCGUAAAGCGCACGUAGGCGGAUUGACAAGUCAGGGGUGAAAUCCCGGGGCUCAACCUCGGAACUGCCUUUGAUACUGUCAGUCUAGAGUCCGGAAGAGGUGGGUGGAAUUCCUAGUGUAGAGGUGAAAUUCGCAGAUAUUAGGAAGAACACCGGUGGCGAAGGCGGCCCACUGGUCCGGUACUGACGCUGAGGUGCGAAAGCGUGGGGAGCAAACAGGAUUAGAUACCCUAGUAGUCC